GUUUUUGUAGCUUACUUCACAAAGCAUGACACUGAAAAUGUCAAGACGAGAACCUCCUCCAAAAACA
This 67-nucleotide transfer RNA is filed under the name Varanus nebulosus (Clouded monitor). Its description in RNAcentral is "tRNA-Phe". It matches the Rfam family "tRNA". From Rfam's summary of the family: Transfer RNA (tRNA) molecules are approximately 80 nucleotides in length. Lineage: Eukaryota; Metazoa; Chordata; Lepidosauria; Squamata; Varanidae. The record is from RNAcentral.